This 253-nucleotide ribosomal RNA is filed under the name uncultured bacterium. RNAcentral's name for it is "partial 16S ribosomal RNA". It matches the Rfam family "Bacterial small subunit ribosomal RNA", at positions 524 to 776 of the family's 1533-position model. RNAcentral also lists the same sequence under 1 other name. The record is from RNAcentral.
UACGAAGGGGGCUAGCGUUGUUCGGAAUUACUGGGCGUAAAGCGCACGUAGGCGGGUUGUUAAGUCAGGGGUGAAAUCCCGGAGCUCAACUCCGGAACUGCCUUUGAUACUGGCAACCUAGAGGCUGGAAGAGGUUAGUGGAAUUCCCAGUGUAGAGGUGAAAUUCGUAGAUAUUGGGAAGAACACCAGUGGCGAAGGCGGCUAACUGGUCCAGUACUGACGCUGAGGUGCGAAAGCGUGGGGAGCAAACAGG